Molecule: non-coding RNA, 169 nt
Filed under: Aureococcus anophagefferens
Lineage: Eukaryota; Pelagophyceae; Pelagomonadales; Pelagomonadaceae
Source: RNAcentral
GCGCGCGCGGCGUUCCGUUUUGGCGAGCCCAACGACUUACCCCGGGGCCCGACGACUUACCCUACGACUUACAAUCGGCGCCAGCGACUUAAAAACGGGUUACUUUUUUCGUUACGUCGAACCCCUCACUGCGUACUACAGCACAAGGAGGGUCACUACCACUGAUGAU